RNAcentral lists this ribosomal RNA (253 nucleotides) under uncultured bacterium. RNAcentral describes it as "partial 16S ribosomal RNA". It matches the Rfam family "Bacterial small subunit ribosomal RNA", at positions 524 to 776 of the family's 1533-position model. The record is from RNAcentral.
UACAGAGGGGGCAAGCGUUGUUCGGAAUUACUGGGCGUAAAGGGCGCGUAGGCGGCCUUCUAAGUCGAACGUGAAAUCCCCGGGCUCAACCCGGGAACUGCGUCCGAUACUGGAAGGCUUGAAUCCGGGAGAGGAAGGUGGAAUUCCCGGUGUAGCGGUGAAAUGCGUAGAGAUCGGGAGGAACACCAGAGGCGAAGGCGGCGACCUGGACAGUUACUGACACUCAACUACGAAAGCGUGGGGAGCAAACAGG